RNAcentral lists this ribosomal RNA (253 nucleotides) under uncultured prokaryote. RNAcentral describes it as "partial 16S ribosomal RNA". It matches the Rfam family "Bacterial small subunit ribosomal RNA", at positions 524 to 776 of the family's 1533-position model. The record is from RNAcentral.
UACAGAGGGGGCAAGCGUUGUUCGGAAUUACUGGGCGUAAAGGGCGCGUAGGCGGCCUUCUAAGUCGAACGUGAAAUCCCCGGGCUCAACCUGGGAAUUGCAUUCGAAACUGCGAGGCUAGGGUACGGAAGAGGGAAGCGGAAUUUCUGGUGUAGCGGUGAAAUGCGUAGAUAUCAGAAGGAACAUCAGUGGCGAAAGCGGCUUCCUGGUCCAGUACCGACGUUCAGGCACGAAAGCGUGGGGAGCAAACAGG